This is a long non-coding RNA of Penaeus chinensis, 1204 nucleotides long. RefSeq lists it as uncharacterized. The record is from RefSeq and is a predicted model, not a curated record. The transcript is spliced from 5 exons. Lineage: Eukaryota; Metazoa; Arthropoda; Malacostraca; Decapoda; Penaeidae.
GUUAGGUCUUAGGAAGGGAUUGACAGUCACAAACACAAACCGUCUAGAUAAGACAACCAGUGGAUUACAUUCACUCAACAGCAAUAAUUUAACAGAGACUUCGUCUAAGCAAGUGAACAGCGUUCUCCAAUCACCAUGAAUAAAGUUCUGCUGAUUGUGCUGGUGCUGGCUGUGUUGAUGGGCCUGACAUGCGCUAUGCCACAGGUGAUCAUAACACGGCAGAGAAAAUUCCCCGGAGAGAGGCGCCUGGGUAGUGUGAACUAUGGCCAGUACCGCUUCGGCAAGAGAGGAUAUCAGAGGAAGAACCAUUCUAGAAAGAACUGAAAAGGAAACUACUAAAAAACUACGUAAUUUGUGGGCAAUGACCCCUCGCCGCCAAAGCCUCCACGGGGACUUACGGGGAGGGAAGGGAAGGGGAAAAAAAGGGGGGAGGGGAGGAGAAUAAAGGGGAAAGGGAGGGGAAAGGAGGCUUUGGCAAGUAGGAAGUAAACAAGAUCACUCCGUAGACUUUAGUAGGCGCCUCAGCAACCGUUGAAGACGAACCAUAUAAGUCGAAACGCUCCUUGGGUACGAAUUAUCCAGCAACGCAGUCGCAAGCAGAAGGCAGAGAGGAAGACACUUGAAGCCAGUGACUGCAGGCGAGAUAUGACGAGACCCUGAUCGCUUCGCUAACACCGCUUUCUCAUCAUAUUCCUAAAGUUCAUUGUUAUCCUACACCACGGAAGACUACCAGAAGUGUAUCUGAAGUCUUGAAGUCUGAAAGUCUAAAGUUUGGCUCAAAGUCCGGGUUCAGAAGAUUGUUGGGGCUUCAGUUUCAGUCUGAAGUUUGGCUCAAAGUCUUGGUUCAGAAGAUUGUUGGGGCUUCAGUUUCAGUCUGAAGUUUGGCUCAAAGUCUUGGUUCAGGAGAGUGUUGGACUUCAGUUUCAGGAUAGAAUGAAUGUGUAUAGUUGAGUGAUUAUAUUUUUGUAAUAGCACAGCUUAUAAUGACUUUCUGAUGAAUGUCGAGUGAUAUAUUGUUAUGUUUACUGAAUAUUGUUGAGUGCGUACGUUUUAUUUAUCAACAUUGUACAGAAACGAAUCACAAGUAUUCGAUAUUAUUUUUGCUAAAAGAUUGUUAUUCUUGUUAUAUAUUUUAUAUAGUUACUAUACUGUUGACUAUUUUGUAAAUACUUUAGCGUUGUAAAUUAAAAAUAUUUUCUUAGAA